CCCUUAUCCUUUGUUGCCAGCGGUCCGGCCGGGAACUCAAAGGAGACUGCCAGUGAUAAACUGGAGGAAGGUGGGGAUGACGUCAAGUCAUCAUGGCCCUUACGACCAGGGCUACACACGUGCUACAAUGGCGCAUACAAAGAGAAGCGACCUCGCGAGAGCAAGCGGACCUCAUAAAGUGCGUCGUAGUCCGGAUUGGAGUCUGCAACUCGACUCCAUGAAGUCGGAAUCGCUAGUAAUCGUGGAUCAGAAUGCCACGGUGAAUACGUUCCCGGGCCUUGUACACACCGCCCGUCACACCAUGGGAGUGGGUUGCAAAAGAAGUAGGUAGCUUAACCUUCGGGAGGGCGCUUACCACUUUGUGAUUCAUGACUGGGGUGAAGUCGUAACAAGGUAACCGUAGGGGAACCUGCGGUUGGAUCACCUCCUUACCUGAAAGAAGC
Molecule: ribosomal RNA, 443 nt
Filed under: Salmonella enterica subsp. enterica serovar Oranienburg
Lineage: Bacteria; Pseudomonadati; Pseudomonadota; Gammaproteobacteria; Enterobacterales; Enterobacteriaceae
Description: bacterial SSU rRNA
Rfam family: Bacterial small subunit ribosomal RNA
Source: RNAcentral